UACGAAGGGUGCAAGCGUUACUCGGAAUUACUGGGCGUAAAGCGUGCGCAGGCGGUGAUGUAAGACAGGUGUGAAAUCCCCGGGCUCAACCUGGGAAUGGCAUUUGGGACUGCAAGGCUGGAGUACGGCAGAGGAGACUGGAAUUCCUGGUGUAGCAGUGAAAUGCGUAGAUAUCAGGAGGAAUACCGAUGGCGAAGGCAGGUCUCUGGACCGAAACUGACGCUGAGGAGCGAAAGCGUGGGGAGCAAACAGG
RNAcentral lists this ribosomal RNA (253 nucleotides) under uncultured bacterium. Its description in RNAcentral is "partial 16S ribosomal RNA". It matches the Rfam family "Bacterial small subunit ribosomal RNA", at positions 524 to 776 of the family's 1533-position model. The record is from RNAcentral.